CCAGUGUUGGGAAAGUUCAUUUUCUACAUGAACUAGUUCAAAGUUCAGUUCACACAUUUUAAAAUGAACUAGUUCAGUUCAUAGUUUGCACAGAAAUGUAAGAUUUUUCCCAUCCUCACCGACCUCAUCAUAAAA
This is a long non-coding RNA of Rhinichthys klamathensis goyatoka, 135 nucleotides long. RefSeq lists it as uncharacterized. The transcript has 2 exons. The record is from RefSeq and is a predicted model, not a curated record. NCBI's taxonomy places the organism in Eukaryota, Metazoa, Chordata, Actinopteri, Cypriniformes, Leuciscidae.